Molecule: long non-coding RNA, 1511 nt
Organism: Homo sapiens (human)
Lineage: Eukaryota; Metazoa; Chordata; Mammalia; Primates; Hominidae
Gene: MIR924HG
Product: MIR924 host gene
Source: Ensembl
GGGAUUCGAACGGCAGGCGGGAAGUGCUCUAGCAGGGGAGUCUGACCUUGUGAGGGAAUACCUGUGUCCCCCCUUUUUUCCCCUUUUUACCCAAUAAAACCCUGCCUUACUCACCCUUUAAAUCAUCUGCGAGCCUGAAUUUUCAUGGCCGUGGGACGGACAAGAACUUUAUCUUCAGCUGAACUAAGAAAAAGUCCUGCAACAUUUUUGGCGCGCAAUGUGGGGGCACCAGAAGCGGAGCCUUAUGUAUGUGGUUGAAACCACCUGUACUACUGGAAUGAAAGCACCUUUACAGAAGAGGCAAUGCAAGUUGUAUUCAUCACAUGUGUAGAAUGAAUUAAGAUUUAUGCCAGUUGCAAAGAAGAAUAUUGGCUCACUAUUUUUCCUCUGGGCAUGUGGAAAUGUAAAUCAGUCCAUGUUACUCACCUCGGAGAAGCAGAAGUACGAUUUACUAUUGUUGCUUGCUUACUUACUCUUAUCAAUUUCUAUGAGAGAAAGAGACCUCAAGUAAACCUCCAGCAGCCAUCUGGACUUCCAUGAAAACAGAACAAUCAGUGAGAUGCAGAGCUUGGAGGAGACAGUUUCCAUAGACUGAAGCACGUGCUGAAGCAAAGUUCACACUUGCAGGAUUAGAAGAGGUUGACCGAAAGAAGGAAGGACAUGGACAGCUAUGUUGUUGUGGAGUCCUGUUUUAUAGUCAUAACCUUGAGUCAAGUGAGUUUGUCUGGACAGACAGAGCUUGUUGCCUUUACUUAUAGGGAAGGCACCGGACACAGACAGCCUCAAGGACAUUUGUUCUAGCCUUUCAGUAUCCUUUCUCUUAAUUAUCUCACCUCAUCCAUGAAGCUGGUAUGUACGAUUUUUCCUUUCUUUCUCAAUCCUUUAAAAAAUUAAAGCUCUAAAUCUCAUUUCCACUUAGAUUUUAAUGUUGCAUUGUAACUUAAGAUAAAACCUUGCUCUGAUGUUAAAAAUACUAAAGUAAGAAGCAAUAUGGCAUAGUGCUUAUGAGCAGGACUACAUAGUUCUUUCUGAAUACAAAUCUCAGAUAAAACACUAUCUCAGUGAUCAACCAGGUUAAGCAACCUUUUUAGUGCCUCAAUUAUUCCAUUUGUAAAAUUGUAAUAAUGAUAGUACUAACCUAUAAGAUUGUGGUGAGGAUUAAGUCAGAUAAUACAAAAGAAGCAUUUAGAGUAUUUCCUGGCAUUAUCUACCAUUUAUUGAAUUUUUAUGGUUAAGAAGAAUAAGGAAAAGCAGAAGAAAAGGAAAAGAGAAAAAAUACAUAAGAAGAAGGAAGAGUGGUAAGCUCUAGUAAAUUACAACAAACGGUAACGUAGAAAACAUUUGUUAGCCCUUAAUAUAGGCCAGGCACUGUGUUCAAUGCUUAAACCUCAUUACUGUUCUUUGAAGUGGAUAACAUUAUUCCUUCCAUUUUAAAGAAAGGAAUACUAAAGACAACUUUGUCAAUAUUAUUCAUGUAAUAAAUGACAGAAUUUGACCAAGACAAUAGAGAA